Long non-coding RNA from Wyeomyia smithii (pitcher-plant mosquito), 307 nucleotides. RefSeq lists it as uncharacterized. The transcript has 3 exons. Lineage: Eukaryota; Metazoa; Arthropoda; Insecta; Diptera; Culicidae. The record is from RefSeq and is a predicted model, not a curated record.
GAUGCCAUUUACUGCAGUAAUUGGUAUGAAACAACUCCGAACAAUCGGAAAAUUUUGCUACAAUGCAUGAUGAGAGCUCAGGUACCAAUCGACACCAAGGCUGGAUUAAUGGAAGCUUCAUUGCCUAAUUUGAAAUCAAUUAUAAACUCAGCUGGAUCAUAUGUUACUUUACUUUUGUCAUUCACAUAAAACAAUUAAUCUGAUUCUACGCAAACCCUUAUGUCGCUUAAUGAAACUUCUUGCUUCGGCUUGAGGAUUAGAAACUUUAAUGCUCAUGUAAAAGUCGUUAAAAAAAAAGAAUCCGUAU